Molecule: long non-coding RNA, 394 nt
Filed under: Ananas comosus (pineapple)
Lineage: Eukaryota; Viridiplantae; Streptophyta; Magnoliopsida; Poales; Bromeliaceae
Description: long non-coding RNA (ACOM_LNC017794)
Source: RNAcentral
AUAAUUCUUGAUUAUAAGUGUAGGUUUGGUGUUUUUCGGAUUGUAGCUGUAGUACACUGGAUUUGACUAUAUAUGCAAGUGUAAAUAAAAAUAGUGUGAGAUACUAUUUUUAUUGGACUUAGAGAAGUCAAAAAUAAGUCGGAAAUGAUAUACUGAAAUUGAAAUGAAAAUAUAUAAUUUAGAAUUUUCUAUCAGGAACGAGGCUUAUAUUCCAGCUAAAAAAUUCAGUGUUAGAAAAUUAUGAAAAUUUGAGAAUGUCGAAAUAAUUUUUUUGAGACUAGAUUUAAAGUUUUAUGUAAUUCUGACGCGCGAGCAGUGAAAAUGGAAUCUGACUGUAAUCUAAAGAUUUUAGUCGGUAGAGCUUUCAGUGACCUAAAAUGAUUCAAAACUGAAA